Armigeres subalbatus is the source of this 316-nucleotide long non-coding RNA. RefSeq lists it as uncharacterized. The transcript is spliced from 3 exons. Lineage: Eukaryota; Metazoa; Arthropoda; Insecta; Diptera; Culicidae. The record is from RefSeq and is a predicted model, not a curated record.
AUUGCUAUGACAUUGAAGUGACAGGUAUUCCACCUGUCACCGGGUGAGUGGUCAAACGUGGAUUAAUAGAAAACGUACCUAGUUAUGCUUAUGUCUGCGAAUCUUAAAUUGAAUAAUCAUAUACUAAAUGCUCUACUAUUAAUAUUGGUGAAUAUUCUGUGCAAACCAGUAAUUUAUAUUGAAUUCCUACCGGAGGCACCUGAACUGUACCGCGACUCCUUUGUUUCAAGCUCUUCCAAGAGCCUAUUGUUCAUCAAAACCGGACUAUCCCUAGAAUUGCUAUAGCUCACCACGAAAUUAUAAGAGGGAACUAAAC